Molecule: long non-coding RNA, 3530 nt
Filed under: Homo sapiens (human)
Lineage: Eukaryota; Metazoa; Chordata; Mammalia; Primates; Hominidae
Description: HSALNT0318801
Source: RNAcentral
GCUGUUUUGCUGCACUCGAUUCCCGCGGGCCCUGUUCUGUCUACUUUCCUUCCUUCGGCCCGGUUCCUCCCUCAGCACCCUCCAGACCUCCUUUACCAUCGCCUUCUUUACCAGCCAGCUUUCUCGUCCAUCCCCCGUUAAUUUCUUAAUUAGCGACUGUCCGCCGUGCGCCAGAUGCUCUCUGUCGCUCGCGCAAUUAAUCCUUUUAUCAGUCUGCUUAGUUUACAGGAGAGGGAACCGCGGCUCCGCUGCGCGGCUUUGGACGAGUCACUCGUCCUUCUUGAGGGAGGUUUGUACGUAUCAGAGACAAAGGGGCAAAUCUCUGGCCCGAGAGGGCCUGCUGGGGGAUUCUAAAACCGGAGCUGCGGGGCUUCUGCACCAAGACUAGCCUAGGAGGAACGUUGUUUCAGCAUCCGAGCUACUCUCUUUCUCCAUCCCAUCCUCUCUCCCUCCAUCCCAUCCUCUCUCCCUGUUCCCUGUGCUGGGAUGCCUUGGCCAAGGCAGAGAGCCAGCAUCCGGUCCCAUCCAUGGGGCCACGGGGCGCUUCCGUAUUGUCUGGGUGGGGGCCACCGAGAACAGAUACCUGUUUCCUCCUCCUCAAGUUGCCAUCCUCCGCCCUCUGCACCACACUGCCCUUACAAGUGGGCUGUGCCUGACUAUGACCUGCCCAGGGAUACUGGGCAGCUGAGACACAGAUUCCUUGGGCCUCCAUGCCUUUAUAAAUAGGAAUCAUGCCAGCAGCUGGGCCUGGGGAGCAAAGAGGAUAUCUGUCUUGACCCUAGCAGCAUUAUUUAGGCCACAACAGAUCUACAAGCGUUUCAAAAUAGCUUGGAGAGGACAGGUUUCCUCUUUCUUUGUAAUCUUGUAGUUGCAUCAAGCUACUGUCUACCUCUGUGGCUCUAGAAGCAUGUAAAUCAGUUAUUCAAUCUCUCCCCAGAUUCAUGGACUAUCUGCCAUGCCCCAAACACCAGGCAGAGUGCUAAGGGGACACAAAGAUGAAUAAGAUGUGACCCCUGCUCUCUAGGAUCCUGUCGCAUAGAUGAAGAGAUAGAACAUAUCCAUAAAAAGAUAACUAAUGACCGACAUUGCGUGCUGCCGACACGUGUUAUGGUCCUGCGGGCUACAGAAAUUCAGAGGAGGAAGACAGAUGACUGCAGUGUGGCAGCUGCUCCUCGGGCACUUACAGGAGCUUGUUAGGAUGAGGACAGAAGACUUCAUAGCACAGAGGGAACUGUGACACCAGCUUUAUAUCACACGAUAGAAAAUACCCAGUUCUGUGAGUUGACUGGGCAUUCUGCAUCACAAGGUGUGGCUGGGCACUGGAACAGCCGAAGUCACCUGGGAGCUGACUGGGUUGGACUGUCCAGGAUGGUUCACUCCUACGACAGUGGAUGCUCAACUGGGGCUGUCAACUGGAGCCCCCAUAGGUAACAUCUCCCAGCAUGGCAGCUCUGUUCCAAGAGGGAGUGCCGCAUGAGAAUCAGGAAGCAGCUGCAAGGUUCCUCAUGGUUUUGCCUUACAAGACACCCAGAGUUGUUUCAGCCUCAUUCUGUUUGUCAACAGGUCACUGUUUCAAGGAGGAGGGGAACUAGACUCCAGCUCUUGAUGAAAGCAGUGAUAAGGAAUUUGCAGUUCUAGUUGAUCUACUGCAGCUUUCAUGGUGUUUUUUCCAUAUACUGAUUAUAUAAUAGUAUUUGUCACCUUUUGCCAAGCGCCACGUAUUACAAUUAAGUGUCUCUUUAUCUCACAGGCUAGAUUUUCAACUUCUGGUGAGAGAUUGCAUUUUUUUUUUUUUUUUUUUUUUUGAGACAGAGUUUUGCUGUGUCACCCAGGCUAGAGUGCAGCGAUCUCGGCUCACUGCAACCUCCGCUCCCGGGUUCAAGCGAUUCUUCUGCCUCAGCCUCCCGGGUAACUGGGAUUACAGGUGCCUGCCACGCCCGGCUAAUUUUCGUAUUUUUAGUAGAGACAGGGUUUCACCAUCUUGGCCAGGCUGGUCUCGAACUCCUGACCUCAUGAUCCACCCACCUUGGCCUCCCAAAGUGCUGGGAUUACAGGUGUGAGCCACUGCGCCCGGCCGAGAGAUUGCAUUUUAUUUAACCCAAUUCUUUCAGUGACAUAGCUAUAAUAACAAUAAAGAUGUAUUAAGUUCCUCUACCAUGUGUUUGAUCCCAUCUAAUUGAACACAUGAUCUUAUCUCAUCCCUACCCUGAUAGAAUAGACGUCUCAUUUUCCAGAUUGGGAACUGAGGCACAGAAAGAUUCAGCUUUGCCCAAAAACCACAUAAUGGACAAGUGGCAGAGCCAGGAUUUGAACCACUUAAGAGCCUGUGUUUUUAUUCUCUCUCUUCUAGUGCCAUCUCACAGUCUUGGCACCAUCUUAGUAGCUUCAGGCUGCUAUAAAAAGUUACCAUAGGCUGGAUGGCUUAAGCAACAGACAUUUAUUUCUCAUGCUUAUGGAGGCUGGGAAGUUCAGGAUCCAGGUGGAGGCUGACCCCAUGUCUUUCUGGGAGGUCCAGCUGCUCCUGGACCAGAUAGUGCCAACACAAUACUUCUCAUUGUGUUAUGAUUGCCUACAGCAGGUGAAGGCCUGCUUCCUGUUUUCCAGAUGGCCGUCUUCUCAUUGUAUCUUAACAUGGUGGAAGGAGAAUGAGAAAGCUCGCUUGUGUCUCUUUUUAUAAGGGCACUAAUCCAGACGCGGAGGGCUCACCUUUACAACAGCUAAACCUGAUCACCCCCCAGAGGCCCCAUCUCCAAAUACCAUCACAUUGGGGAUUGUGCUUUGACAUAUGAAUGUGGGAGGACACGAGCAUUCAGUCCAUAACAGGCACCAAGGCACCAAGUCAGUCUGCACAAGUGUGUCGCUGGGCAGAAGAACAAAAGAGAAGGAAGAAGAAAGAACACAGUACAGAAAGUGAGUGGCGGUACCACAAAGAGUCAUCAGCAAGUGCUGAUGGUGGCUCCGGCCAGCACAUUCCAAGCAUCCUUGGGUAGCCUGAUAAAUGGAGUGCAGAAUGUUCGGUAGCUCUGCAAGGAGUGGGAGUAUUUAUUGGGUCUGAGUGCUUGAUGCGAAACUUUCCUCCAAAGUUCCAAUUUUCUAUCCGCCAAGAUAAGUGAUGGAGGUUUAUGGUUCAUGUUGUAGCACAUCCACCCAGGCCAAGGACCUACAACUCUGAAUUUCUGGCCUGCCUCCUUCCAGCUAGAAGUGAAUCUAGAUUUACAUGCCAUCAGGAACAAGCAUCGUCUUCCUGUUCUGUGAGUUCCUAGUUGUAGUAGGUACUGCUUUCAUCCUGAGAAUAUCAAUCUACAUGCACAAGGUCCCUCUCUGUGGAGGAGUAGGUACUUAAACCCAAGAUAAGUGGAAACUUUAUAUCCAAGGAGACAGAAAAUAAAAUUUCAGUAUGUUUUAUAUUAAACAACUUAUUAUACUUCUAUCCUUUUAUGAACAUAAGGUCAUCAGUAGGCCAAAAGUCUGAAAACAGUCUCAGUUCCUCAAUGUGAAUGCAAACCAUUAGUGCAAAAAAAAAAAAAAAA